CCGAAGAUCGAGAAUAGGAGUAUAUCGAACUCCUAGUACUGCCCGAGGUAGCCUGUGAAUAGCAGAUAUCGUCAAGGAUUAUAUUCGGCUUUACUACUCCAAAAACCAUAGGUUUACUGCCUUUGUGCACUUUUGUUCCUUGUGGGCCCAUGAGUCACUGUAAAGUAAAUUUCAUAUCCCGAUUAUUUGAAUUAUAGUACGUAUGAAUUUAUUUAACUUUUACAUUA
RNAcentral lists this small RNA (227 nucleotides) under Theobroma cacao (cacao). RNAcentral's name for it is "sRNA Tc02v2_g019860". Lineage: Eukaryota; Viridiplantae; Streptophyta; Magnoliopsida; Malvales; Malvaceae. The record is from RNAcentral.